RNAcentral lists this unclassified non-coding RNA (236 nucleotides) under Hevea brasiliensis (rubber tree). Lineage: Eukaryota; Viridiplantae; Streptophyta; Magnoliopsida; Malpighiales; Euphorbiaceae. The record is from RNAcentral.
UGACCUGGGGGCCCUGGCCAAGGGACACCUAAGUGCUGCAUGGGGCUAGAACUCCCGUCCAGUGACACUUGUUUCAGGCUUCAAAGUAUGUGGCCAUAGUAUCUUAUUGUGUAACCAUCCCAAUCAUUCAUUGUUCAUAAAUUAUUUUAACUGUGCCAACUAUAGAUAAACAACCAAUUGAAGAAAUCCAUUCUCAUAAUAACAUAUUGUAAGAUACUGUUUAACUGAAGCAUGAA